UCUCCUGUAGCUCAGUGGUAGAGCGUCGACCAGUGUGCAGAAUGUCAUAGGUUAGACUCCUGUUGGGAGAA
This 71-nucleotide transfer RNA is filed under the name Desmophyllum pertusum. Its description in RNAcentral is "Lophelia pertusa tRNA". It matches the Rfam family "tRNA". Rfam says of the family: Transfer RNA (tRNA) molecules are approximately 80 nucleotides in length. Their secondary structure includes four short double-helical elements and three loops (D, anti-codon, and T loops). The record is from Rfam by way of RNAcentral. Lineage: Eukaryota; Metazoa; Cnidaria; Anthozoa; Scleractinia; Caryophylliidae.